Molecule: ribosomal RNA, 364 nt
Filed under: uncultured bacterium
Lineage: Bacteria
Description: bacterial SSU rRNA
Rfam family: Bacterial small subunit ribosomal RNA
Source: RNAcentral
AGCGAACGCUGGCGGCAGGCUUAACACAUGCAAGUCGAGCGGGCGUAGCAAUACGUCAGCGGCAGACGGGUGAGUAACGCGUGGGAACGUACCUUUUGGUUCGGAACAACACAGGGAAACUUGUGCUAAUACCGGAUAAGCCCUUACGGGGAAAGAUUUAUCGCCGAAAGAUCGGCCCGCGUCUGAUUAGCUAGUUGGUGUGGUAACGGCGCACCAAGGCGACGAUCAGUAGCGGUCUGAGAGGAUGAUCAGCCACAUUGGGACUGAGACACGGCCCAAACUCCUACGGGAGGCAGCAGUGGGGAAUAUUGGACAAUGGGCGCAAGCCUGAUCCAGCCAUGCCGCGUGAGUGAUGAAGGCCCUA